AUUGAACGCUGGCGGCAGGCCUAACACAUGCAAGUCGAACGGUAACAGGAAGAAGCUUGCUUCUUUGCUGACGAGUGGCGGACGGGUGAGUAAUGUCUGGGCAACUGCCUGAUGGAGGGGGAUAACUACUGGAAACGGUAGCUAAUACCGCAUAACGUCGCAAGACCAAACAGGGGGACCUUCGGGCCCCUUGCCAUCGGAUGUGCCCAGAUGGGAUUAGCUAGUUGGUGGGGUAACGGCUCACCAAGGCGACGAUCCCUAGCUGGUCUGAGAGGAUGACCAGCCACACUGGAACUGAGACACGGUCCAGACUCCUACGGGAGGCAGCAGUGGGGAAUAUUGCACAAUGGGCGCAAGCCUGAUGCAGCCAUGCCGCGUGUAUGAAGAAGGCCUUCGGGUUGUAAAGUACUUUCAGCGGGGAGGAAGGGAGUAAAGUUAAUACCUUUGCUCAUUGACGUUACCCGCAGAAGAAGCACCGGCUAACUCCGUGCCAGCAGCCGCCGCAG
This 506-nucleotide ribosomal RNA is filed under the name uncultured bacterium. Its description in RNAcentral is "partial 16S ribosomal RNA". It matches the Rfam family "Bacterial small subunit ribosomal RNA", at positions 30 to 523 of the family's 1533-position model. The record is from RNAcentral.